AUGAGGUCGGAAUUGCUAGUAAUCGCGGAUCAGCAUGCCGCGGUGAAUACGUUCCCGGGCCUUGUACACACCGCCCGUCACACCAUGGGAGCCGGUAAUACCCGAAGUCAGUAGUCCAACCUCGUGAGGACGCUGCCGAAGGUAGGAUUGGCGACUGGGGUGAAGUCGUAACAAGGUAGC
RNAcentral lists this ribosomal RNA (180 nucleotides) under uncultured bacterium. Its description in RNAcentral is "partial 16S ribosomal RNA". It matches the Rfam family "Bacterial small subunit ribosomal RNA", at positions 1320 to 1500 of the family's 1533-position model. The record is from RNAcentral.